GUUAAAAAUAGCUAUAAUUUUUAAAAGUUUAUAAAAUUUUUAUGUUUAAUUAAUUAUUUAGAAAUAAUUAUUUAAUUAAUAAUUUAAAGUAAUGUGAAUGAAUAUUUUUAAAUAAAGAAAAGUAGAAUUAUUUUUGUACCUUUUGUAUCAGGGUUGAUUAAAAUUUAUUUAAUAAAUUUAAAUAUCUCGAAAAUAAGUGAGCUAAAUUUGUAAUAUUUUUUUUGUUGCAAUAAAAUUAUAAAUAUAAAUUUAGAGAUUAAAUGUCAUUCGAACUUAUUGAUAUCUAGUUUUUUUAGAAAUAAAUUUAAUUUAGAUAUAAAAUUUUUAAUACCUUAAAAUUUAUUUAUAGUAUUAAUUUUUAUAUUAAAAAUUUAUGGGAUAAACUAUAAAUUUAUUUAUAAAAAUUUUUGAUUUUAUUUAUAAUAUUAUGAAGUUAAUAUUUUUUAUUAAUAUAAAAAAUUUAAUAAUUUAGUUAUUAAUUUUAAAAAAUUUAAAUUUUGAAUUUUAUUUAUUCUAUAAAAACAUAUAUUUUAAUUUUUAAGAUAUAGUGAUAAUGAUUAAAUUAGUAAUAAAAGUAUAUUUAAUAAUAUAUAAAUUAUUUAUAUAUAUAUAAUUUAAAGGAACUCGGCAAAAUUGAUUAUUCACCUGUUUAACAAAAACAUGGCCUAUUGAGUAUAAUUUUAGGUCGAUCUGCUCCAUGAAAUAAAUUUAAAUAGCUGCAGUAUAUUGACUGUACAAAGGUAGCAUAAUAAAUUGUCUUUUAAUUGAAGAAUUGAAUGAAUGAAUUGAUGAAAUAACAACUGUCUCUAUUUUAUUUAAUGAAUUUAAAUUUUUAGUAAAAAUUCUGAAAUUUAAUUAUGGGACGAUAAGACCCUAUAGAAUUUUAUUUAAUAUAAUUAUUUAUUUAAAUUAUUUGUGAAUAUAUAAUUAAUUUAAAUUUGAUUGGGAGGAUUGGUAAAUAAAAAUAACUUUAUCUAAAAAUUAAUUUUGAUGAAAAGAUUUUUUUUGACUUAUAAUUUAUGAUUAAAAGAAUAAAUUACCUUAGGGAUAACAGCGUAAUAUCUUUUGAUAGACCACAUUGAUAAAGAUGUUUGCGACCUCGAUGUUGAAUUAAGAGAAAAGUUAAACGCAGGAGUUUAAAAUUUUAAGUCUGUUCGACUUUUAAAAUCUUACAUGAUUUGAGUUCAAAUCGACGUAAGUCAGAUUGGUUUCUAUCUAUAAUAAAAUUAAAAUUAUUUGUACGAAAGGACUUUAAUUUUUAAAUUAUUUAUAUUAUUAAUUAAUGAAUAUAUUAAUUUG
Molecule: ribosomal RNA, 1299 nt
Filed under: Apis cerana (Asiatic honeybee)
Lineage: Eukaryota; Metazoa; Arthropoda; Insecta; Hymenoptera; Apidae
Description: 16S ribosomal RNA
Source: RNAcentral